RNAcentral lists this non-coding RNA (22 nucleotides) under Arabidopsis thaliana (thale cress). The record is from RNAcentral. Lineage: Eukaryota; Viridiplantae; Streptophyta; Magnoliopsida; Brassicales; Brassicaceae.
GUUAGAUGGUAGAACGGGUUUG